This is a long non-coding RNA of Hibiscus syriacus, 1261 nucleotides long. RefSeq lists it as uncharacterized. The transcript is spliced from 8 exons. The record is from RefSeq and is a predicted model, not a curated record. Lineage: Eukaryota; Viridiplantae; Streptophyta; Magnoliopsida; Malvales; Malvaceae.
UUUGCCUACACCAUCUGUUUCAUCGAUGCAAAGUGAUCAUGUUGUCGGGUUAGGAUUCGGGUCGCCUUCGGAUUUAAGUGAUAGCUCUUCUGACGAUAAUCAGCUUGCAAAUGAUCCGGUUCAAUUCAAGGCAUACAGGUCGUAUAUUGAUCCCAGAGGCCAAGGUGAAAGUAGAAUGAACAUGAGGUCAAGAAGCCCCGAUCCGGGUCGAGAUGGCCGACCAGCCCAACAUCACCUCUUCAUCAUCAAUUGUCUGCAGUGAGUAUCGAGUCUCCUACAGGGAGAAAGGAAGAAGGGAAAUCUGUGUGUCAUAAGUUGCCUCUUCCACCAGGUUCUCCCACUAGUCCCUCUGCUUCCUUUCCAAGCAGUAGCAGCACAAGAGCUUGUGUAGUGAGUGAAACUACACCUUGUACUCUAUCAAAAUGGCGAAGAGGUAGACUCUUAGGGAGGGGAACUUUUGGACAUGUUUACCUUGGAUUUAAUAGGUAGGACUUGCAUCUUGUAUCGAUUAAUCAUCACAUGCUGUGAGUCAUAAAGUCAUUUAGAUUUACCGAUCACAGAAAUUAGCUGUUGUGAUGCAUUCAUUGUAUUAGUUCUGCUAGUAUGCAAGAUCGUCAGUAUGUUUUUAGCUUUUUCCCAUUGUACUUCUCUGAGUAUUGUGCAUUCAUGAUCGACAGUUAAAGUGGACAGAUUUGUGCAAUAAAAGAAGUCAGGCUCGUAUCUGAUGAUCAGACAUCAAAAGAAAGCCUAAAGCAACUGAACCAUGAGAUUAAUUUGCUGAGUCAGCUAUCUCAUCCAAACAUUGUUAGAUACCAUGGAAGCGAUCUGGGUGAAGAAGCACUCUCAGUUUACUUGGAAUAUGUCUCUGGUGGUUCAAUCCACAAAUUGCUUCAAGAAUAUGGUGCCUUCAAGGAACCUGUUAUUCAAAACUAUACAAGACAAAUUCUUUCCGGGCUUUCUUACUUGCAUGGAAGAAAUACAGUGCACAAGGACAUAAAAGGGGCAAACAUAUUAGUAGAUCCUACUGGUGAAAUCAAGUUGGCAGACUUCAGCAUGGCAAAACAUAUAACAGCUUGUGGUGCAAUGCUUUCAUUCAAGGGAAGUCCUUACUGGAUGGCACCUGAGGUUGUAAUGAAUACAAAUGGCUACAACCUUGCCGUGGAUAUCUGGAGUUUGGGUUGCACUAUGCUUGAAAUGGCAACAUCAAAACCACCAUGGCAUCAGUAUGAAGGGGUGGCUGCAAUAUUUAAAAGAGAAAAUC